RNAcentral lists this ribosomal RNA (484 nucleotides) under uncultured bacterium. Its description in RNAcentral is "partial 16S ribosomal RNA". It matches the Rfam family "Bacterial small subunit ribosomal RNA", at positions 30 to 507 of the family's 1533-position model. The record is from RNAcentral.
AUUGAACGCUGGCGGCAGGCCUAACACAUGCAAGUCGAGCGGAUGAAGGGAGCUUGCUCCUGGAUUCAGCGGCGGACGGGUGAGUAAUGCCUAGGAAUCUGCCUGGUAGUGGGGGAUAACGUCCGGAAACGGGCGCUAAUACCGCAUACGUCCUGAGGGAGAAAGCGGGGGAUCUUCGGACCUCGCGCUAUCAGAUGAGCCUAGGUCGGAUUAGCUAGUUGGUGGGGUAAAGGCCUACCAAGGCGACGAUCCGUAACUGGUCUGAGAGGAUGAUCAGUCACACUGGAACUGAGACACGGUCCAGACUCCUACGGGAGGCAGCAGUGGGGAAUAUUGGACAAUGGGCGAAAGCCUGAUCCAGCCAUGCCGCGUGUGUGAAGAAGGUCUUCGGAUUGUAAAGCACUUUAAGUUGGGAGGAAGGGCAGUAAGUUAAUACCUUGCUGUUUUGACGUUACCAACAGAAUAAGCACCGGCUAACUUCGUG